This 353-nucleotide unclassified non-coding RNA is filed under the name uncultured Enterobacter sp. Its description in RNAcentral is "16S-23S ribosomal RNA intergenic spacer". The stretch from base 239 to 346 matches the Rfam family "Salmonella enterica Typhi npcRNA 44". Lineage: Bacteria; Pseudomonadati; Pseudomonadota; Gammaproteobacteria; Enterobacterales; Enterobacteriaceae. The record is from RNAcentral.
ACCUUAAAGAACCUGCCUUUGUAGUGCUCACACAGAUUGUCUGAUGAAAAGUAAAUAGCAAGGCGUCUUGCGAUUGAGACUGUACGUCCCCUUCGUCUAGAGGCCCAGGACACCGCCCUUUCACGGCGGUAACAGGGGUUCGAAUCCCCUAGGGGACGCCACUUGCUGGUUCGUGAGUGAAAGUCACCUGCCUUAAUAUCUCAAAACUGACUUGCGAGUCAUGUUUGAGAUAUUUGCUCUUUAAAAAUCUGGAUCAAGCUGAAAAUUGAAACGACACACAGCUCAUGUGUGUUCGAGUCUCUCAAAUUUUCGCAAGUCGAUGGUGAAUCGAAAGAAACAUCUUCGGGUUGUGA